ACUCCUACGGGAGGCAGCAGUAGGGAAUUUUCCGCAAUGGACGAAAGUCUGACGGAGCAAUGCCGCGUGAGUGAUGAAGGUUUUCGAAUCGUAAAGCUCUGUUGUAAGGGAAGAAUAGCAAGAAUAGGAAAUGAUUCUUGUCUGACGGUACCUUACCAGAAAGCCACGGCUAACUACGUGCCAGCAGCCGCGGUAAUACGUAGGUGGCAAGCGUUAUCCGGAUUUAUUGGGUUUAAAGGGUCCGUAGGCGGGUUAAUAAGUCAGUGGUGAAAUCCCAUCGCUUAACGAUGGAACUGCCAUUGAUACUGUUAGUCUUGAAUGAGGGUGCAGUGGUUGGAAUGUGUAGUGUAGCGGUGAAAUGCAUAGAUAUUACACAGAACACCGAUUGCGAAGGCAGAUCACUAACCCUAAAUUGACGCUGAGGGGACGAAAGCGUGGGGAGCGAACAGGAUUAGAUACCCUGGUAGACUGU
Molecule: ribosomal RNA, 472 nt
Filed under: uncultured bacterium
Lineage: Bacteria
Description: bacterial SSU rRNA
Rfam family: Bacterial small subunit ribosomal RNA
Source: RNAcentral